RNAcentral lists this transfer RNA (94 nucleotides) under Pseudomonas rhodesiae. Its description in RNAcentral is "tRNA-Asn". Lineage: Bacteria; Pseudomonadati; Pseudomonadota; Gammaproteobacteria; Pseudomonadales; Pseudomonadaceae. The record is from RNAcentral.
UCCACCACGUUCUUGCGUGGCACCGACGCGACUAACAGCUAGCGAAUGGCUAUUGAUCAUUGGGUCCCUGGUUCGAGUCCAGGUCGUGGAGCCA